AGAGUUUGAUCAUGGCUCAGAUUGAACGCUGGCGGCAGGCCUAACACAUGCAAGUCGAACGGUAACAGGAAGCAGCUUGCUGCUUUGCUGACGAGUGGCGGACGGGUGAGUAAUGUCUGGGAAACUGCCUGAUGGAGGGGGAUAACUACUGGAAACGGUGGCUAAUACCGCAUAACGUCGCAAGACCAAAGAGGGGGACCUUCGGGCCUCUUGCCAUCAGAUGUGCCCAGAUGGGAUUAGCUUGUUGGUGAGGUAACGGCUCACCAAGGCGACGAUCCCUAGCUGGUCUGAGAGGAUGACCAGCCACACUGGAACUGAGACACGGUCCAGACUCCUACGGGAGGCAGCAGUGGGGAAUAUUGCACAAUGGGCGCAAGCCUGAUGCAGCCAUGCCGCGUGUAUGAAGAAGGCCUUCGGGUUGUAAAGUACUUUCAGCGGGGAGGAAGGUGUUGUGGUUAAUAACUGCAGCAAUUGACGUUACCCGCAGAAGAAGCACCGGCUAACUCCGUGCCAGCAGCCGCGGUAAUACGGAGGGUGCAAGCGUUAAUCGGAAUUACUGGGCGUAAAGCGCACGCAGGCGGUCUGUCAAGUCGGAUGUGAAAUCCCCGGGCUCAACCUGGGAACUGCAUUCGAAACUGGCAGGCUUGAGUCUUGUAGAGGGGGGUAGAAUUCCAGGUGUAGCGGUGAAAUGCGUAGAGAUCUGGAGGAAUACCGGUGGCGAAGGCGGCCCCCUGGACAAAGACUGACGCUCAGGUGCGAAAGCGUGGGGAGCAAACAGGAUUAGAUACCCUGGUAGUCCACGCCGUAAACGAUGUCUACUUGGAGGUUGUGCCCUUGAGGCGUGGCUUCCGGAGCUAACGCGUUAAGUAGACCGCCUGGGGAGUACGGCCGCAAGGUUAAAACUCAAAUGAAUUGACGGGGGCCCGCACAAGCGGUGGAGCAUGUGGUUUAAUUCGAUGCAACGCGAAGAACCUUACCUGGUCUUGACAUCCACAGAACUUUCCAGAGAUGGAUUGGUGCCUUCGGGAACUGUGAGACAGGUGCUGCAUGGCUGUCGUCAGCUCGUGUUGUGAAAUGUUGGGUUAAGUCCCGCAACGAGCGCAACCCUUAUCCUUUGUUGCCAGCGGUUAGGCCGGGAACUCAAAGGAGACUGCCAGUGAUAAACUGGAGGAAGGUGGGGAUGACGUCAAGUCAUCAUGGCCCUUACGACCAGGGCUACACACGUGCUACAAUGGCGCAUACAAAGAGAAGCGACCUCGCGAGAGCAAGCGGACCUCAUAAAGUGCGUCGUAGUCCGGAUUGGAGUCUGCAACUCGACUCCAUGAAGUCGGAAUCGCUAGUAAUCGUGGAUCAGAAUGCCACGGUGAAUACGUUCCCGGGCCUUGUACACACCGCCCGUCACACCAUGGGAGUGGGUUGCAAAAGAAGUAGGUAGCUUAACCUUCGGGAGGGCGCUUACCACUUUGUGAUUCAUGACUGGGGUGAAGUCGUAACAAGGUAACCGUAGGGGAACCUGCGGUUG
Molecule: ribosomal RNA, 1522 nt
Filed under: Salmonella enterica
Lineage: Bacteria; Pseudomonadati; Pseudomonadota; Gammaproteobacteria; Enterobacterales; Enterobacteriaceae
Also listed under: 1 other name
Description: bacterial SSU rRNA
Rfam family: Bacterial small subunit ribosomal RNA
Source: RNAcentral